GAAGUUCUCUCCCAAGUGAUUAACUCCUUCAGCUUUGGAUCUGUCCAGUCAUGCUUCAAAACUUCACCAAUUAAAUAGUCAUCUGUUCCUAAAUCACCAAUAGACAAACUGUACACACCGCAUGGAAGUUCUUCCCAGAAGUCUGUUUUGGAUAUUCCCUCUCCAUCUGCAAAUUCAGAACUUUCAUUUACAGAGGCAUGUGGUGAUACAGAAGACAGCAGAAACCGAGGGUCCUCCUUUGUUGGCCAGUGAACAAGAAGGCUUCGCCUUCCAAAUGCAUCUCGACCAAACCAUAAUAUUCUUGAACUACUCUGCCAAUAAAUCAAAGCCCAAGG
Molecule: unclassified non-coding RNA, 335 nt
Filed under: Hevea brasiliensis (rubber tree)
Lineage: Eukaryota; Viridiplantae; Streptophyta; Magnoliopsida; Malpighiales; Euphorbiaceae
Source: RNAcentral